AUGUGCCACUCGUACACUCCGGCUCCUUCGCGCCGUCCGCACCCACCUGACGACUGCCCGCUACGUUUGUUAGCC
This 75-nucleotide small RNA is filed under the name Xanthomonas vesicatoria. Its description in RNAcentral is "sX9". It matches the Rfam family "Xanthomonas sRNA sX9". Lineage: Bacteria; Pseudomonadati; Pseudomonadota; Gammaproteobacteria; Lysobacterales; Lysobacteraceae. RNAcentral also lists the same sequence under 1 other name. The record is from RNAcentral.